Molecule: long non-coding RNA, 1536 nt
Filed under: Mus spicilegus (steppe mouse)
Lineage: Eukaryota; Metazoa; Chordata; Mammalia; Rodentia; Muridae
Description: lncRNA (ENSMSIG00000001769.1)
Source: RNAcentral
GAAGGUGGAACCUUAUGGAAGGUGAUUAGGUCACAGGAAUAGAGCCCUCCUGAAGGGCUUCUGUCCUCUUUCAGGGGACCAAAAUGCAGCUGCCUUGUUCCUUCCAUGUGAGACAAAGCAAGAAGUGAAUCACAGGCUUUUUGGACAGGGAGAGGGAGAGGGCAAGAUGUAGCUAUUAGUGUCUUCCAUUUAUAUGGCAAGCAAGCUGAGGAACCCAUGAAGAGCAAGUCGGAAAGUAUCUUUUGAUACAGAAGCCAGAAAUUCUUCCACGGUUGCUGCCUCUGUUCCUGCUUGAGUUCCUGCCCCGAUUUCCCUCAGGAAGGGCUCUGUAAUCACGAUGUGUAAAGCAAGCAACCCCAUUUCUCUCCAGUUUAAACCACCACCACCACAACAAAAUGAGCCACAAAACAGACAUUUGGCAUAGCGGUAGAAAGCCGGCCAAUCCAGUGAUGCAUCCAGAGAGGACAAAGAGGGACACCCCCUCUUCUCCACAUCUCACAGUGUAAACGUCUUUCCUGAUGGGUUUUUAUAACCAUAUAUCCUUCAUAAUAAACCAGUUCAGCUCCGUAGGCCCUGUUACAACAAAGGCUGCUCCCACAACAGAAAGUACAAGUAGGUGGUCAACUUCAGUGGCAGCUAGCUGUACAGUACCAUCUCAGCGGGCACACAAGAUAAACAAGUCUUCAGGGCAUGGCUACCUUCACCUGAAUGCCAAAGAAUGGCCAAGGGUGUCUCAGGACCCAGAAAGGAAACAGUGAAGGUGUAGACUUAGAGUCACACAGCCCACUCAGAUCAUGUCCAGUGGAGCCAUGGGCUCCAUGAGACCUCAGGACAGAAGGGCCAUUAGCAUAUCAUCCCACUGUGAAAGCUACAGGCAUACAAUAUCAACAGAGCCACAAAAAUCAACCCUGGGCGCAAGCCCACCAACCAAGAAGCUCUAGAAGGUGUGACCUCUACUCUGGUGAUCCCAAGAGGCAGAGCCUUGAGACAAAGAUUGUUUUCCAGGUGAAAGACUUUGGACCUUCUGAGAAUGCUUGACUCCUGCCUUCUUGUCUGCUUCUCCCUUUGGACUGGGAAUGCCCAGCUCUUGACUGUCCUGUAAGUGUAGUCAGGACACCUAUAAAAUGUCUGGUUCCAUGGGUUCACAGCUGGAAAGCAAUGCACCCCAGGAUAAACAGCACCUCGUACUGUCAUCCAUGGCUGAUUAAGUGAUACUGAGAAAAGACCUCGGAUGGCUGGAAUGUGGGUCUGGAGUGCCUGUCACUGGACUGUUGCAAUCCUAACCUCAAGUGGACGAUAGGAGGAAUAAUGGGUCUCUUCUGGGAAGUGACGGAGAGUAGAAACAUCAUCCAUGAGAUCAGUAGAUGAUCAAAGGCCUGGAGUUGCUUGGUCACUUCCACUGUGUGCAGACACAGUGCAAAAGGAACUGUUUGUACACCAUGAAUUAACUUCUCACCAGCCAUGGAAUCUGACAGCACUGUGAUUUGACAUCCCAGCUGACAAAUCGAUCAGAAAUAAAUUCCCAUUUCUAAGCCA